This 372-nucleotide ribosomal RNA is filed under the name uncultured Pseudomonadota bacterium. Its description in RNAcentral is "bacterial SSU rRNA". It matches the Rfam family "Bacterial small subunit ribosomal RNA", at positions 96 to 482 of the family's 1533-position model. The record is from RNAcentral. Lineage: Bacteria; Pseudomonadati; Pseudomonadota.
CGGCGGACGGGUGAGUAACGCGUAGGAAUCUACCUAGUAGAAGGGGAUAGCCCGAGGAAACUCGGAUUAAUACCGUAUACCUCCUUAGGGAGAAAGAGGGCUUAGCUUUGAUGCUCUCGCUAUUAGAUGAGCCUGCGUAAGAUUAGCUUGUUGGUGAGGUAAUGGCUCACCAAGGCGACGAUCUUUAGCUGGUCUGAGAGGACGAUCAGCCACAUUGGGACUGAGACACGGCCCAGACUCCUACGGGAGGCAGCAGUGGGGAAUAUUGGACAAUGGGCGCAAGCCUGAUCCAGCCAUACCGCGUGUGUGAAGAAGGCUUUCGGGUUGUAAAGCACUUUAAGUAAGGAGAAAAAGAUUGCAGUUAAUACCUGC